Molecule: ribosomal RNA, 567 nt
Filed under: uncultured fungus
Lineage: Eukaryota; Fungi
Description: eukaryotic LSU rRNA
Rfam family: Eukaryotic large subunit ribosomal RNA
Source: RNAcentral
GACUAACAGGAUUCCCCUAGUAACUGCGAGUGAAGCGGGAAAAGCUCAAAUUUAAAAUCUGGCGGUCCUUGCGGCCGUCCGAGUUGUAAUUUAGAGAAGUGUUAUCCGCGCUGGACCGUAUACAAGUCUCCUGGAAUGGAGCGUCAUAGAGGGUGAGAAUCCCGUCUUUGAUACGGACUACCAGGGCUUUGUGAUGCGCUCUCGAAGAGUCGAGUUGUUUGGGAAUGCAGCUCAAAAUGGGUGGUAAAUUCCAUCUAAAGCUAAAUAUUGGCGAGAGACCGAUAGCGAACAAGUACCGUGAGGGAAAGAUGAAAAGAACUUUGGAAAGAGAGUUAAACAGUACGUGAAAUUGUUGAAAGGGAAACGCUUGAAGUCAGUCGCGUUGGCUGGGGAUCAACCUUGCUCUUUUGCUUGGCGUACUUCCCAGUCGAUGGGUCAGCAUCAGUUUUGACUGUUGGAUAAAGGUCAGGGGAAUGUGGCAUCUUCGGAUGUGUUAUAGCCCUUGGUCGUAUACAGCAGUCGGGACUGAGGAACUCAGCACGCCGCAAGGCCGGGUACUUGUACCAC